AAUGAUGCCGGUGGGCGCACCGCAUGCUGGCUGAGAUGCCACUCGUGCCUUUGAUCAGAGAGGCUGAUUUGUGCACAAAGUUUUGGUCUCUGAUUCCUUGGGGGCUUUCUUUGAGCUCCUGUUGUGAAACCUUCAUUUGCUUUUAACAGCAGCGAGUUUUUUUUUUUCUUAUGAUCUUCUCUUUCCCCCCUCUGUUGCCCUGAGAUAAAGGCUUCUAAAUUUGUCCUGUGCUGAAAACGCAGCUAAUCCUGAUGGACCUGAAUUCGCAUCUUCCCCGAAGGAAUUGCACUAAUUUUUUUUUCCCCUUUGUUCUGCCAGGGGACCUGUCCGUUUCCUCGUGGAAAAAAAAAUCACUAUUUAGGGCAAGGUUUAGAUUCCUGAAACCUGUGUGUUUGUUUGCAAGGAAGGAGGACAGGAGGGAAAUAAAUGAGAAAAGCAUCAUGCUUUUUUUUUUUUUUUCCCCUUCCAAUAUUGUUUUUACAGCAGACAAGUUUUAAUUAAAUUGUGGAACUAGGGCAGUUGUGCUGUCCAGAAGAUGCUCUGAGGACUCGAUCCUUUUCCGCUGGUCCUUUUCCUUUUGCACUGGGAGCUCGGAGCUGCUUGUCCAGCCCCAGGUUCACCACGAAAAGGCUCCUGAUGGGAUUUAGGCACCGGGACGGGGGGGGCUUUGGGGUGUGUGUGGGACCUCCUGCUGCUGGCGGUGAUGGGUGGGCUGGGUGCUGGAUGGGGCUGGCAGCUGGGGGGGUUUGGGUGAUGGUGCAUGGGUGUGAGGGGCACAGAGAGGUGGCAGGAGGUGAAGCAGGAUCUGCUUCAGCAGGGGACCUGCCUGCUGGCACCCGCACUUCAGGAAGCCCGUCUGACCACAAACACUUGCCUGGGGCAGAAAAAUCCAGCGAGAGCUGCCUUGCCCUCAGCCCGGGGCUUUCCCCUGCUCCCAGGUGGUGCGGGAUAGCCAGGCUGGGGGAGCGCUGCCUGAAGGGGGGCUUAGGAGCGGGGAUGGAGGGCUGGGGGUCCUGGGUCUGUUCCUGGGGAGGAUGGAGCAGAUGGAGGGGUGGUGAGAGCAGCGCCCUCACUGCUGGGGCAGCCGCAGAGGGGCUGGGUGGGACGGGGUGGUCGCAGCAGCCUCAGUUUCCCCCUGGCAGGUGCUGGGGGCGAUGUCACAUCCCACCUGCACGGGGAAUUUGGUUUGGUGAGGGACGCAAAGUGCAGCUGCCAGCUCCCAGCACCUCCCUUUCUCCUGUGUUUGUGUACGGGCAGCACCCCGAGAGCCCCCACGGCUGGCAAGGAAGCACCCGGUAGAAAGCUGUGCGGAGACGGAGACACGGACAGCCGGACAGAUCUCAUGCAAACCUCUAGUUGAGCCUCUUCCCCACUCUUCUCCUCCUUCUUCUCCUCCUCCUCCUCCUCCUCGCAGCACGCCCGCGGCUGCCUGGCUCCCUUGGCUCGCGUCCUGCCCAGCACAUGUAAAAGUUGUGCGAGAGCCCGUGCCCGCGUCCCGCUCCCCUCUGCUGCUCGCAGGGAGCCGGCGAGGAGAAGGGGGCGAGAGCCGGGCUGGAAGAAGCCCCCCUGGGCUGGUUCCCGUGAGCCCCGCUUGCCCCAUGGUGGAUUUCUGCGAGGGAAGGUGACUUGGGGAAGAAGCGGCGCUGCGCCGGGUCGAAGGCAACCAUGAAUGAGAUGUCAAGUUUCCUGCACAUCGGGGACAUCGUCUCCCUGUACGCCGAGGGCUCGGUCAAUGGCUUCAUCAGCACUUUGGGGUGAGUGAGCCCUGUCCCGGAGCCUGCUC
Molecule: long non-coding RNA, 1783 nt
Filed under: Anas platyrhynchos platyrhynchos (common mallard)
Lineage: Eukaryota; Metazoa; Chordata; Aves; Anseriformes; Anatidae
Description: lncRNA (ENSAPLG00000024963.1)
Source: RNAcentral